UGCACAACAUUAAACUUUAAUAUAAGAUAAUAUUUUAUACUCGCCAGGGGACUACGGGCAAAAGCCUAAAACCCAAAGGACUUGGCGGUGCUUUAGACCCACCUAGAGGAGCCUGUUCUAUAACCGAUAACCCCCGUUAAACCUUACCUUCUCUUGUUAUAAUCCGCCUAUAUACCGCCGUCGUCAGCUUACCCUGCAAAGGAUGUUUAGUAAGCAAAAUUGAUAUUAUCCAAAACGUCAGGUCGAGGUGUAGCAAAUGGGAAGGAAAGAAAUGGGCUACAUUUUUUAAUUUAAAAAAUACGGAAAUUGCCAUGAAACAGCACAUUCAAGGAGGAUUUAGCAGUAAGCAUGAGAAUAGAGAGCUCCGCUGAAACUGGCCCUGAAGC
RNAcentral lists this ribosomal RNA (386 nucleotides) under Aphyosemion exiguum (jewel killifish). Its description in RNAcentral is "partial 12S rRNA". The stretch from base 47 to 386 matches the Rfam family "Bacterial small subunit ribosomal RNA", at positions 875 to 1380 of the family's 1533-position model. Lineage: Eukaryota; Metazoa; Chordata; Actinopteri; Cyprinodontiformes; Nothobranchiidae. The record is from RNAcentral.